RNAcentral lists this ribosomal RNA (253 nucleotides) under uncultured bacterium. Its description in RNAcentral is "partial 16S ribosomal RNA". It matches the Rfam family "Bacterial small subunit ribosomal RNA", at positions 524 to 776 of the family's 1533-position model. The record is from RNAcentral.
UACAGAGGUCCCAAGCGUUGUUCGGAUUCAUUGGGCGUAAAGGGUGCGUAGGUGGCGCUGUAAGUCGGGUGUGAAAUCCCGGGGCUUAACUUCGGAACUGCAUUCGAUACUGCGAUACUCGAGGACUCGAGAGGAGAUUGGAAUUCACGGUGUAGCAGUGAAAUGCGUAGAUAUCGAGAGGAACACCAGUGGCGAAGGCGAGUCUCUGGACGACUCCUGACACUGAGGCACGAAAGCCAGGGGAGCAAGCAGG